UGGGGAAUAUUGCACAAUGGGCGAAAGCCUGAUGCAGCAACGCCGCGUGAGUGAUGAAGGUCUUCGGAUUGUAAAGCUCUGUCUUUUGGGACGAUAAUGACGGUACCAAAGGAGGAAGCCACGGCUAACUACGUGCCAGCAGCCGCGGUAAUACGUAGGUGGCGAGCGUUGUCCGGAUUUACUGGGCGUAAAGGGUGCGUAGGCGGAUGUUUAAGUGAGAUGUGAAAUACCCGGGCUUAACUUGGGUGCUGCAUUUCAAACUGGAUAUCUAGAGUGCAGGAGAGGAGAAUGGAAUUCCUAGUGUAGCGGUGAAAUGCGUAGAGAUUAGGAAGAACACCAGUGGCGAAGGCGAUUCUCUGGACUGUAACUGACGCUGAGGCACGAAAGCGUGGGGUAAGCAAACAGGAUU
This 409-nucleotide ribosomal RNA is filed under the name uncultured bacterium. RNAcentral describes it as "partial 16S ribosomal RNA". It matches the Rfam family "Bacterial small subunit ribosomal RNA", at positions 355 to 779 of the family's 1533-position model. The record is from RNAcentral.